AGACGGGUGAGUAACGCGUGGGGAACCUACCUCUUUGUGGGGAAUAACGUUCCGAAAGGAAUGGUAAUACCGCAUGAGACCUUCGGCUGGGAUGCUGGAGGUGAAACCCGGGGACCGUAAGGCCUGGGGCAAGGAGAGGGUCCUGCGUCUGAUUAGCUAGUUGGCGGGGUAACGGCCCACCAAGGCGACGAUCAGUAGCCGGCCUGAGAGGGUGAUCGGCCACACUGGAACUGAUACACGGUCCAGACUCCUACGGGAGGCAGCAGUGGGGAAUUUUGCGCAAUGGACGAAAGUCUGACGCAGCAACGCCGCGUGGGUGAUGAAGGUCUUCGGAUUGUAAAACCCUGUCGUCAGGGACGAAGGUUGGGGCCUUAAUAGGGUUUCAACUUGACGGUACCUGGAGAGGAAGCCCCGGCUAACUCUGUGCCAGCAGCCGCGGUAAUACAGAGGGGGCAAGCGUUAUUCGGAAUUACUGGGCGUAAAGGGCGCGUAGGCGGUUCUUUAAGUCGGAUGUGCAAUCCCCGAGCUCAACUUGGGAACUG
Molecule: ribosomal RNA, 542 nt
Filed under: uncultured Holophagaceae bacterium
Lineage: Bacteria; Pseudomonadati; Acidobacteriota; Holophagae; Holophagales; Holophagaceae
Description: bacterial SSU rRNA
Rfam family: Bacterial small subunit ribosomal RNA
Source: RNAcentral